CCAAAAUAAGUGAGAAGUAUAUACGGCGCGUAUGAUAAAGAAGAUCGAGUGCUGGCAUCCGCGCUGUACUCGUGUUACCUGAUGUCAAAGGAGCUGGGUGAACAAGUUGAAACUUGUAGCGUAAAUAAGUAUGAACAGUUACUCGUGGAGAAAGACGUAGACACCGUUGACGGUUAAAAAUCAUCAUCAUAAUUUCGAAGGUGUAGCACUAAAAGCGAUGCCUGCUAAGUACUUUGAACAUGUCGAAUAAUUUAACAAACGUUAACGAAGAUGAUUUAUUCUACCCUUACGCGCAAGAUCCGCUUGCUGACUUCGAUGAAAGGUAUCCUGUUCAAGCGACUACCACAAAAUCGACGGCGCCUCAUGAUAAC
This is a long non-coding RNA of Pectinophora gossypiella (pink bollworm), 371 nucleotides long. RefSeq lists it as uncharacterized. NCBI's taxonomy places the organism in Eukaryota, Metazoa, Arthropoda, Insecta, Lepidoptera, Gelechiidae. The record is from RefSeq and is a predicted model, not a curated record. The transcript has 3 exons.